Chinchilla lanigera (long-tailed chinchilla) is the source of this 1078-nucleotide long non-coding RNA. RefSeq lists it as uncharacterized. The transcript has 3 exons. The record is from RefSeq and is a predicted model, not a curated record. NCBI's taxonomy places the organism in Eukaryota, Metazoa, Chordata, Mammalia, Rodentia, Chinchillidae.
GAAAACAAAGGUGGGGCACUGAGGUAGGAGGAGGGAGUGCAGAGGACCUGGGGUUGAAGCAGAGCCGGCGAUCCAGCUGGGUGUAGGACAGGGCACUGGCCCUGCAAAGGCACAGCGAAGAGCCAGCAAGGCCGGCCAGCUCCUUCGCUCCACUGAGGCCUUGCAAAGAGCAUUUCUCAGGGGCUCAAAGUUCUUCAGGCAACUGGUGCCCAGCCUACCACCAAAUCAAGAGUAGAGCGGCUGGGCAUGGCCCAUUCCUUUGAUGGAAGGCUCAGGUGGCUGGGGAAAGAUUAGAGACUAUGGGACCGGCCAGGCCUGUAGCUCUAUUCUUUGAACAAUGGGUGGCAGGUCCUAUUCCCAGACUCAGCCAGACCAACUUCCUGUCAAAGUCAGGCACGGUCUGGGGAAAGGGGGUGGGGCCCGGGAAGGAGAUGAAAGAGCCCCGCCUGGAUGUCUACAGCCCUCCAGCAGAGACCUGAUUUCUACUGAGCAGGGUUUGGCCUGACCACUACUUUUUGAGACCAGACGAACUGGGAGAGGGGCGACACGGGGAAGGGAGACAGCGCGGGACGGCAAGAACCACGAGGAAGGGCAGGGCCCCCACCCCACAUCUGGAUUGAUGCAGUUUUCCGUUACACGGCCUUCACCCUGAGCCUCAGCAGGAAGUACCUCACCAGACACUCAGCAUCCACGCCCUGUGCCUCUUUGCAAAAACCCUUCCAGGUUACUUUGAGCCCUGACCCUCAGGAACUCCGCCGGAACCAGCACCAUCCUGGCAGCUCUGGCUGGCACCCGGAACACGCGAGGAUGUGCAGGCAUCUUGGUGAAGUUGCUGGGCUCCGUCGUUCUCACCUGGGCAGAGGGAGGCUCAUGAACCUGGAAUGGCGCGCCGCCCCGGGUACCCUGGACGGUAACCCCUCGCCCACGACUAGGUGCCUGCAGGGAUCUGCCCACGGAAAAGGAGAUGUGAUCGCUGGCCCAGGCCUCGGAGCUGGGCAACCUCAACUGUCGUGGCAUCAUCCUCGCUUUUUUCUCCAUCCCAUUCACCAACCCAAAAUGAAAUUUUGGUUUUGUUUUA